CCGAGUUUACAACUCCCAACCCAAUGUGAACCAUACCAAACUGUUGCCUCGGCGGGGUCACGCCCCGGGUGCGUCGCAGCCCCGAACCAGGCGCCCGCCGGAGGGACCAACCAAACUCUUUCUGUAGUCCCCUCGCGGACGUUAUUUCUUACAGCUCUGAGCAAAAAUUCAAAAUGAAUCA
Molecule: unclassified non-coding RNA, 181 nt
Filed under: soil metagenome
Description: partial internal transcribed spacer 1
Source: RNAcentral